GAUGAAGAACGUAGCGAAAUGCGAUAAGUAAUGUGAAUUGCAGAAUUCAGUGAAUCAUCGAGUCUUUGAACGCACAUUGCGCCCCCUGGUAUUCCGGGGGGCAUGCCUGUCCGAGCGUCAUUGCUGCCCUCAAGCACGGCUUGUGUGUUGGGCCGUCGUCCCCCUCCUAGGGGACGGGCCCGAAAGGCAGCGGCGGCACCGCGUCCGGUCCUCGAGCGUAUGGGGCUUCGUCACCCGCUCCGUAGGCCCGGCCGGCGCUUGCCGACGACCAUCACUCUCUUUCUCCAGGUUGACCUCGGAUCAGGUAGGGAUACCCGCUGAACUUAAGCAUAUCAAUAAGCGGAGGA
This 347-nucleotide unclassified non-coding RNA is filed under the name soil metagenome. RNAcentral describes it as "partial contains 5.8S ribosomal RNA, internal transcribed spacer 2, and large subunit ribosomal RNA". The stretch from base 1 to 120 matches the Rfam family "5.8S ribosomal RNA", at positions 35 to 154 of the family's 154-position model. The record is from RNAcentral.